CCUACGGGAGGCAGCAGUGAGGAAUAUUGGUCAAUGGGCGAAAGCCUGAACCAGCCACGCCGCGUGCAGGAUGAAGGAUCUAUGUGUUGUAAACUUCUUUUGUAUGGGAGUAAACUAGGGUACGUGUUUCUUUUUGUACGUACCAUACGAAUAAGGAUCGGCUAACUCCGUGCCAGCAGCCGCGGUAAUACGGAGGAUGCAAGCGUUAUCCGGAUUUAUUGGGUUUAAAGGGUGCGUAGGCGGAUUAUUAAGUUAGCGGUGAAAUGUUGGGGCUAAACCAUAGAACUGCCGUUGAGACUGGUUGGCUAGAGUAUAGGUGAGGUAGGUGGAAUGCGUGGUGUAGCGGUGAAAUGCAUAGAUAUCACGAAGAACACCGAUUGCGAAGGCAGCUUACUAAACUAUAACGGACAUUGAAGCACGAAAGCGUGGGGAGCAAACAGGAUUAGAUACCCUGGUAGUC
This 460-nucleotide ribosomal RNA is filed under the name uncultured bacterium. RNAcentral's name for it is "partial 16S ribosomal RNA". It matches the Rfam family "Bacterial small subunit ribosomal RNA", at positions 338 to 795 of the family's 1533-position model. The record is from RNAcentral.